This 262-nucleotide unclassified non-coding RNA is filed under the name plant metagenome. RNAcentral describes it as "partial contains small subunit ribosomal RNA, internal transcribed spacer 1, and 5.8S ribosomal RNA". The record is from RNAcentral.
UUUCCGUAGGUGAACCUGCGGAAGGAUCAUUAUUGUAUAACCGAGGUGCGAGGGCUGUCGCUGACCCGAAAGGUCGUGCACGCCCGAGUGCCCUCACACACAUCCAUCUCACCCUAUGUGCACCACCGCGUGGGUCCCCCUUUGGCUUGUUCGGAGGGGGGCUUACGUUUUCACACAAACUUUGUAUGCAGUGUAGAAUGUAUUUUUUGUUUUUGCGAUCACGCAAUCAAUACAACUUUCAACAACGGAUCUCUUGGCUCUC